GAUAGAGAGGGAGGGUGAAGGCAAAGAGAGCUGAAUGAACAGGAUGCUUUCUAUGCAAAAAAAAACCCCUAUCAAAAAUGCAAAAAUCGCUUUUGGAGAUAGAGACAAACCCGUUUUCACAUGACUCCACUUGGAGUUUUUAAAUCCAGCAAUUUCUGCACUGCUUCCUACCAACACUGUGCUAAACUCAACCUUGGUUUUGUGUCCUGCAGCCCGAGCCCUGUCCUGCAGCAGAUCCUGGGAUGCCCAUGACACCAGGCUGGACAUGGGUUCACCCAACCUGCUGCUCAUUUUCUGGCUGACAAAUUGUCUCUGGCCCUGGUGGGAGUUCAUGGGAACAUCCUGCUCAGAUUGGCUCUUAAUUACAUGAAUCAGGAGUGGGGGUUUUAUGGAAAAUCUCACCCUCCAAAAACCACGAGGAGCUGCCAGCACUGAGGGACCCUCAGCAGAAGCCCCUCACCACAGCUGAUCCCUCCUCAUCCUCUUCCUCCUCCUCCUCCUCCUCUCCCUGCUCUGCUGGCCUGGAGCAUGAUGUGGAUCCUGAUUUGCACCAGUGCCUGUCCAGGCUGACCAGCACCAGACCUCAGCGUGGGGACACAGCAGCAGCACUGCAGGCACACACAGGGGGCAGAGGACACCAGGACAUGCCCGCCCUGCCCACUGCACUGUGGGCACUCACUGGUGAAGCGCAUAAGGCUGGAAGAAUGGGAAAAAUUAAAAAGAAAAAAAAAAAGAAGAAAAGAAAGAAAAAGAGUCUCCAACCCCAGGAAAUCUGUGUUAAUUGCUUAUGAAUGUCUCUGUCUAAAAAAUUAUCGAAUUGAUGUUGUCGUGCUUUUUUUUGACAGCCUGUCUGUUACAUUUUUUUAAAAUAUUCAUGCACCGAAAUCUAAUUACUAGGCAAAUUUAAUGAUAAUGAAAUGAAGGCACUUUAGCAGAAAGCACAGGGCCUUGUUAAUGUUUUCUCAGCCUCUGUCUUGUUCAUAUUUUUAAAAUUAUUUUUUUUACAACUGCCUUUCUUGCAUAUGAGAAAAAAAAAAAAAAGAUUGCUGAAAAUAAAACUCAGAUUGCCGAUAA
Molecule: non-coding RNA, 1074 nt
Organism: Agelaius phoeniceus (red-winged blackbird)
Lineage: Eukaryota; Metazoa; Chordata; Aves; Passeriformes; Icteridae
Source: RefSeq, a predicted model, not a curated record